GAUGAACGCUGGCUACAGGCUUAACACAUGCAAGUCGAGGGGAAACGCCGGGGAAGCUUGCUUCCCCGGGCGUCGACCGGCGCACGGGUGAGUAACGCGUAUCCAACCUGCCUCUGACUGAGGGAUAACCCGUCGAAAGUCGGCCUAAUACCUCAUGGCAUCGUCUGCGGGCAUCCAACGACGAUUAAAGAUUUCAUCGGUCAGGGAUGGGGAUGCGUCUGAUUAGCUUGUUGGCGGGGUAACGGCCCACCAAGGCUACGAUCAGUAGGGGUUCUGAGAGGAAGGUCCCCCACAUUGGAACUGAGACACGGUCCAAACUCCUACGGGAGGCAGCAGUGAGGAAUAUGGGUCAAGGGGCGGGAGCCUGAACCAGCCAAGUAGCGUGCAGGAUGACGGCCCUAUGGGUUGUAAACUGCUUUUAUGCGGGGAUAAAGUGAGGGACGUGUCCUUCAUUGCAGGUACCGCAUGAAUAAGGACCGGCUAAUUCCGUG
This 491-nucleotide ribosomal RNA is filed under the name uncultured bacterium. Its description in RNAcentral is "partial 16S ribosomal RNA". It matches the Rfam family "Bacterial small subunit ribosomal RNA", at positions 28 to 507 of the family's 1533-position model. The record is from RNAcentral.